RNAcentral lists this ribosomal RNA (253 nucleotides) under uncultured bacterium. RNAcentral's name for it is "partial 16S ribosomal RNA". It matches the Rfam family "Bacterial small subunit ribosomal RNA", at positions 524 to 776 of the family's 1533-position model. The record is from RNAcentral.
UACGUAGGGUGCAAGCGUUGUUCGGAAUCAUUGGGCGUAAAGCGCGUGUAGGCGGUUUGUUAAGUCGGGUGUGAAAUCCCUUGGCUCAACCAAGGAAGUGCAUCCGAAACUAACUGGCUAGAAGACGGUAGAGGAAGGUGGAAUUCCAAGUGUAGAGGUGAAAUUCGUAGAUAUUUGGAGGAAUACCUGUGGCGAAGGCGGCCUUCUGGACCGAUCUUGACGCUGAGACGCGAAAGCGUGGGGAGCAAACAGG